This 100-nucleotide unclassified non-coding RNA is filed under the name Schizosaccharomyces pombe (fission yeast). Its description in RNAcentral is "non-coding RNA (predicted)". Lineage: Eukaryota; Fungi; Ascomycota; Schizosaccharomycetes; Schizosaccharomycetales; Schizosaccharomycetaceae. The record is from RNAcentral.
AAGACUAUUGAUCUGCUAUGAUUGUCUUGUUUCGUCUUCUUUGUUCAUUUGGGAGCUUGUUUCCUGCUUCAAGAGACAACGGACGUCAAUUUUUGUUGUA